UAAGCAUAUCAAUAAGCGGAGGAAAAGAAACUAACAAGGAUUCCCUUAGUAACUGCGAGUGAAGCGGGAAAAGCUCAAAUUUGAAAUCUGGCAGUCGUCUGGCUGUCCGAGUUGUAAUCUAGAGAAGUGCUACCCGCGUUGGACCGUGUAUAAGUCUCCUGGAAUGGAGCGUCGUAGAGGGUGAGAAUCCCGUCUUUGACACGGACUGCCAAGGCUUUUGUGGUGUGCUCUCAAAGAGUCGAGUUGUUUGGGAAUGCAGCUCAAAAUGGGUGGUAAAUGCCAUCUAAAGCUAAAUACAGGCGAGAGACCGAUAGCGAACAAGUACCGUGAGGGAAAGAUGAAAAGAACUUUGGAAAGAGAGUUAAACAGUACGUGAAAUUGCUGAAAGGGAAACGCUUGAAGUCAGUCACAUUGGCUAGGAAUCAACCUUGCUUUUGCUGGGUGUACUUUCUGGUUGAUGGGUCAGCAUCAAUUUUGACCGCUGGACAAAGUCAUUGGGAAUGUGGCAUCUUUGGAUGUGUUAUAGCCCUUUGAUGCAUACAGUGGUUGGGAUUGAGGAAUUCAGCACGCUGCAAAGCCGGGUUUCGACCACGUUCGUGCUUAGGAUGCUGGCAUAAUGGCUUUAAUCGACCCGUCUUGAAACACGGACCAAGGAGUCUAACAUGCCUGCGAGUGUUUGGGUGGAAAACCCGAGCGCAUAAUGAAAGUGAAAGUUGAGAUCCCUGUCGUGGGGAGCAUCGACGCCCGGACCAGACCUUUUGUGACGGAUCCGCGGUAGAGCAUGUAUGUUGGGACCCGAAAGAUGGUGAACUAUGCCUGAAUAGGGUGAAGCCAGAGGAAACUCUGGUGGAGGCUCGUAGCGAUUCUGACGUGCAAAUCGAUCGUCAAAUUUGGGUAUAGGGGCGAAAGACUAAUCGAACCAUCUAGUAGCUGGUUCCUGCCGAAGUUUCCCUCAGGAUAGCAGAAACUCAUAUCAGAUUUAUGUGGUAAAGCGAAUGAUUAGAGGCCUUGGGGUUGAAACAACCUUAACCUAUUCUCAAACUUUAAAUAUGUAAGAACGAGCCGUCUCUUGACUGGACCGCUCGGUGAUUGAGAGUUUCUAGUGGGCCAUUUUUGGU
Molecule: ribosomal RNA, 1118 nt
Filed under: Neopaxillus dominicanus
Lineage: Eukaryota; Fungi; Basidiomycota; Agaricomycetes; Agaricales
Description: eukaryotic LSU rRNA
Rfam family: Eukaryotic large subunit ribosomal RNA
Source: RNAcentral